UUGAGGGCAAGUUUUGAACAAGUCAUAAACUUUUGGAUAUUCAUAACUUAUGAGUUUUAAUUAAGUGUUUAAAACUUUUAAUGAAGAGUCUCUUGGAAAUCCAUAACUUGAGGACAAGUUAUGAAGUCCAUAAAAGCAUUUAUGGGAAAAACUCUUCAAGAAAAUGUAACCUACAACUUCUUAAAAACAUUUAAAAGAAAAACUCUUGGAAUUCCAUAACUUGAGGACAAAUUAAGAAUUCCAUUAAAACACAUUAAGAUCAAGAAUUAACUAACAAACAAUUUGCAAAUAAUUCCUAUGAUCUAACAAAACUCAUAUGAACAUGAACAUCCACAUCAACAAUUUCAAGAAUCAUAUGAACACAUAUAAACUUGAAAUUUUGAUUAUAACUUUGAAAUUGGUCCACCAUCAUCAUUACCACAUCAAAAACAGGUUUUAUGAGUCCAAAACAGUUUAAGGUAAUGAUUCUAGACCAAUUCCAGCACCAAAACUCGAAGAUAUGCUGUCUGGGGGUCCAACUCGUCGAGUGCAUGAACCAACUCGCCGAGUUGGAUGAAUUUUGUCUUGGACUCGUCGAGUCCCUUCAUGGACUCGGCGAGUCUGCUGUGCAGACAGCACAUAAACUUCGAUUUUCAGCAAUUUGCAUCAAGUAUUCAAGAAAACAAGCCUAGGCUCUGAUACCACUGUUGGGUUUUGAGCAAUCUAACACUUCCUAAGUGUGCAUGCAACCCUAAUAAACCUUGGAUCUAUGUUUUCUUCUAAAAUACAUGCAAAUAAUAAUUUCCAAGGUUUCUUCCUAACUAGCAUAGCAUAAGGAUUAUGAAUCAUAAAAGUACUAGUAGAAAUACAUACCUUUUGAUGAUGGUUGAUUGUUUGGAGUUUGAGAGCCAAGGACCAAUAGUGUGAAUGCCUCAAAUGGAAUCACAAAUCACCACAAACACUUGGAAAACUUUGAGAGAGUGUAUACACACAUAGAAAAUCGGCCACACACACAAAACCACACUAGUGGCUAUUUCAUGCAACAUAAGCAUGGUUAUAUAGUGUGCAUGGUUAGGGUGAAACCCUAAUAACCCAUGACCUUUCCUUUUCCAAGGAUCCAUGGGUUAAAAGCUCCAUGGAUCAUCCAUGGACUUCCAUAUAAGCCUAGCCCAUUAACAAAUGAGUGUUAGCCCACACCAUAUAAAACAAUAGCCCACAAUUUAAUUAGUCUUCCUUUUAAUCUCUAAAUUAAUUCAUAAUUAAUUUAAGACUAAGACUAAUUAAAUAACUUCAUAUUAAUAUAUUAUAACUUACAAUAUAUUAAUAAACAUAUGUGUAUAACUCUCAUAAAAUUAUCCAUAAAUAGUUCGGGUGAAGUGCAACCCAAAUGGACCAUGCCAGGCCGGGUCAAGUAUGUACCAAAUAAGUUAUGGACUUAGACACCUUAUCCAACACCAGUUGGGGUCACGAGGCUCGAAAAGGAGGCGAAGGUGAUGUGAUGUUGAGGAUUGCAGUCUGAAUAGAGUGGUCGGCCAAUGGUUGUGAUGCCACUUUCUAUGACGUGAAUUACACUAUUUUCUCUUCCCAUGUGGAAUGAAAGGGAUAAGGAGCUUCCCGUUUUAGACUUUGGAGGUAAACCCCAUGGGGUAGCAUAUAGAUGUAAUAUUUUUUGCCAGAGUAUUUUGUAAUAUGUCUGUUGCGAGGUAUUCCUUAUACUGUAAGAGAGUCAUCAGUGAGGACUGAGAUGGAUGAGGACAAGGAUAUGCCUUAGUUGAGUAUCGUAAGGCAUAUUUUAGCAACAGUUCCAGGUAAUCAAGAGGAGUAUACUGGGGCGACGAACCUAGGAGUCUAUGUUAUGUAUCAACUAUGAGAGUGAGGUCUCUUGCUUCUAUGAUGAUUCACGCGAUGGAAAGUUGGUUCAAGAAUCGGAUAUGAGUUGUGUGUGAUAGCCCAUUAUUUCCAUAUUAAGAGUCGUAACUAAUUCAGGACAGUCGAGAUGUCUGUUGGUGUGUUGAUAUCAGAUUUUUGAUGAUUCGAGGCAAUAACAUUGAGAGGUUUCUAGGGUUACCAUAUGAGAUCCGGAAUACUUAGAGUUCUUGGGCUUAUUCUGAAAGGUCUUCGAGUGUUGUGUGGUACGUCCCAAGAGUCGAGUAUGGUAUAGUUGGGGAGCCCGUUGUAGUGAGGUCUAUGGUUAUGUCAACUAGUGAUGGUUCAAACCCUCAAUGGGGGAGAACCGAGUAAUCUGUGGAGGAUCAACAAUCUAAUUGAUUUGUGGUGGAAAUGAAUGGGUUGUGGGGAUAUACGAUCCGGUUAUAUGAGGCUUGGGUCUUGUGGUAGUCAAGGCAUAGUACACGACGAGAUGAUGCAUGUUGUAUGUGCCCAGGUGAGAUUGAGUGUCUUCACAACAAGUAGACGUUGGAUAGGGGUCUUAUUGUGGUCAGUGUGUCUUCAGGAUUCCCAAUGUUCGAGUUUCGAGGCGGUUGGGUCAUUGAGGUCAAGUUUCGAUUGCUGAGAGAUUGAUAGUGUGACAUAUAGAUUGUUCCGGGAAGGGAAACAAUUGAUUUGUCAAUCAACUUCAGAGUCUGUAUGAGUAGUUUCGUAUGGGUUUUGGUUAGUAGAGGAGGGGGUUUUGGAUUGUUUUCAACAUGCUCUAAGUCAUUAAUGAUUCCUCCAUGCUUCAAAUUAUGAGUUUGAGUACUUCAAGGUUUCAAGUUGUUUAAGUGGAUGAUCAGGGGUCGUGGAAAGCUAUCGUGAGAUUAUGUGACAGCGUAUCGAGGUAUCUGAGUAUGAUGACCUAAAUUGUUGGAUUAUUAUGAGACUUGGGAUUUUCAGAUGGCAAAUGGAUCAUCAAGUGACUAUAUUUCCUGUUGUGAAACCAGCAGUUAAUUGUCUUCAGGAGUAGUGAAGCUUAAUCUGGGUGGGUGUGCGCACCUAUAUUUGUUGGGUCGCAGAGCAUGGGUUUAAUGAACUAAGUAUAGUGAUGGCUUGAUGAUGACAUUGUUGGGUGAUAAGAGACUGGAUGGAUCCAAGUGGGUGUAGUCACUUAGGACUGUCAGGGAAAACCGUAAAGUGAGCCCAUGGUGAGUGAGAGAGUGUUAUAAGAUUACGGGGAGUCAUAGCAUUCAGUAGUCAGUGAGAGAGUAUUGGAAGAAUUUGGGGAGCCGUAGCACUCAUUAGUCAGUGAGAUUGUUGUAAGGCUAGUGGGAGCUGUAGUACUCAUUAGUCAGUGAGAGAAAUUUUGUAAGAGUGUGGGGUGUUAUAGCACUCAAUAGUCAGUAAGAGAGUGAUGUAAGACAGCGGGGAGCCAUAACACUCAUUAGUCAUUGUGGAAGUGUUGUAAUUCCGCAGGGCGCCAUAACAUUCACUAGUCAGAGUGUAACGUAGAGGGGUCCUUAGUCCUGGGUAGCCUUAAAAAUUGAGUCUUUGGGAACUUGGUGGGUGGACUAGGGGCAAGACUGGAGUCUUAGUGAUGGUCGGGAACCGUUAUGUAUUGAGUUAGGGAGGGUUUGUUGCAAAUCGAAAAGAUCGAGGUGUAAUGCAUGCGUAGAUUCAUAUAACACAGGUCAUGAGUUGAGUAUCAGAUUGGAUAAAAGUUGUUCCAGUUUUGUUGUCGGACCAAACUCUUGUGUUUCAGUUUAACUCUAUUUGUGCAGAGAAUAGAUUGGUUGAGAUUAUGGAUUUUCAGAUGGGAUACAUUAUGAGUGGCUAUGAUUUCCAUCUGAUGUUUUAGACCUAGGUGGGUCGGUUCAAUUGGCUUAAGGAGGACCACCACACAUGUGGGAUCAACAAGCAAUAGAUAAUGGAGGUCGGAGAUGAUGUGAGUCUGCAGAUCAGUUAGAAUAUUCACUUGGGGUAAAGCGAACAUGGAGAUUGCAUGUACAAUGUGAAUGGUUGAGAUAGCUCGGUUGGAUCGAAUGACUGUGGAGUGAUAUUGUUAGAUGUGCUCGGGUGGCAUUGGCAGUCCAACUGCUCAAUCGAGAGUUGAUCUUGCAUUCGGAUCUAAUGUUCAGCAUUGGAAAGUAGCUAGAGUUAUAUUUCGGAUAUCAAGGGAUAGUUCUGGUUGGGCAUGGUCAUCCAGUUCGGGGUCGGAGCUGAAUCGUCCUGGGAUUGAUACUGGGAUGGUCCAGUCUGGUGAGAGGUUAGACCUAAUGUAGGUCUUCUGUCCCAUGUAGAUCGGCAGGUUUUCAUUCAGAGUUUGAGGGAACAGCAAGCGGACGAUUCAUACAUUCGAGAACAUGCUACGCACAUGUGUUAUGGACUUUAGUUGGAGUUGGGAUUCCUACCUGCCCUUGGCUGAGUUUUCAUACAACAACAACCAUCACUCUAGCAUUCGGAUGCCUCCCUUUGAGCUUUUUUAUACGGGAGGAGGUGUUGGAGUCCCAUCUGUUGGGGGAGGUCGGGCAGAUAAUGAUGGGGAGCACUAUGAUAGUGCUCAAGAUGGCAGAGCAAAUCUAGCAGGUUAGACCGAGGUUGCUGAUGGCCCAGAGUCGGCAGAAGAGCUACGUAGAUCAGAGAUGACCUGAGCUAUAGUUCUAGGUUAGCGAUUUUGUCCUCCUGAAGGUAUCACCAUGGAAAAGGGUGAGUCAAUUUAGGAAAAGGGGCAUGUUGGGCCCUAGAUACUGUUGGGUUUUGUGCACUAUAACACUCCUAUGGUGCACAUACAACCCUAAUGCUUUGGAAUUAAGUUUUCUCUAGUUAUACAUGCAACAAAAUUAUCCAAAGCAUGAAACCUAUAACUAGCAAACGACAUAGAUAUUUGAAACAUAAAAAUGUAACAUCCCCAAAUUCAGGUAAAGCUAUUUAAGCCUUCCAUUUUGUCAAGUUGUCAAGAUUGGUCCCUUCAGAGAGUUCUUGUAGAAAAGUAGUACGGUGGACAUACUCGGGAGUACGCUGCGCGUACUCAUGCACUUAAUUUGGACGUGGACUCGCCUGGGUACGCUGUGCGUAACGGGUCCAGAUGCAAACCCUAAAUGUUUGGCGUGUGCACUAUUUAAAGGAUGCUAAGGCUCAUUUCUCAGCUUCCAUAUCAGAGUGUGAAACCCUAAGACAGAGCCUUCCAUCGUCCUUAGCUUGAUUGUGUGUGUGUGUUUUGGAGCUAAAAGUGUCUUGGUCUGUUAGUGAAUAAGAAGGAGAAGAGCUUGUGGAGGCUAGGGCUUGAAGUGCAAGUUUGGAUCUAGAUCUGUCCCAUUUUAGUGAUAUUUUUGUUAUAGAUCCAUAAAGUUUCCAUCUUGGUCGUUGUUAUGAGGUCAUGCUUGAGUUAUGAGCUUUCUAGAGUUGGGAAAUGGAAUGUUAUGGGUGUUAGUGACUUGUCCAGCCAUGCAAAGGCUUAAAGUCACCAACUUUAUGAAUUAAGAGGCUUAGAAAUGGUCAGAUCUAGAAGUUUGACGUGGGUCUUAACUGUUUAAGACCUCAAGAGCUUAGAGUCUGAAACUUGGAGUUACAUGGGGCGUAAUCCCAAUACGUGCGGCGUAAGGGGUCGCGCACCCCGUUUCUGUUUGAACGCCGGGUACACCCAGCGUACAUGUUUUGUACGCGCAGCGUAACCCGGAGAGUUGACGUUUGCUGACUUUUAGGGUUUGGUCAAUUUUAGUGUCUUUGAGCCAUGAGAGGGGUAAAUUGGUCUUUUACCCUUCUGAGAGUACUAAGAGAGGGAAUACUCUAGCCUUGAAAUAAUUAUUGAUUUAGAUUGUUUAUUUCGUAUUAUUAGGAAGAGGCUAGACCCGAUUUCACAGAGUUCGAGACUACCGAGUUACCCGAGGUGAGUCUUUGCACUAUACUUUGCCUAGAGUGGUAAUUAGAGUUAUGUGACAGAGUAUUUUGUAUGCUUUUGCAUUAUGUGAUUUAUGCUAUGUAUGUUACAGAGUUUAUAGAGUUAGGACCGGAAGGUCCACAGAGUUAGGGCCAGAGGGCCUACAGAGUUAUGGGACUGGAGGGUCCCACUGAGACACAUUGACCAGAGGGUCAAAUAGAGUUAUAGCCUCGAGUGGCUAGUACAUGUUGUGUGGGGUAUUUUGGGGGAAGUCACUAUGCAUUUAUGCUUACAAUGUUGUGCUAUGUGUUUCAGGUACCAGUGAGGAUCGCGGGAAGGCGUCGGCUAGAUCAGUACACACAUGAGGAGCUUUUAAAUAUUAUGAUCUUGGGAUGUGAUGUUAUGAAUUGAUUAUGUGAUACAAUGAUAUUUUUAUAACAAUUAUGAAUGAAACUAUGUUUUUAAAUGUGAAAAAUUAUUUUGAAAAUUUGGGUGUUACAAAUUGGUAUCAGAGCCUUGGUUUUAGGGAUUCGAGUGCACCUUCAGGCGUAUCUGAACUCAAACUGAGGAUUUGAGAAAUUUUUAUCACGAGUAAAAAGUUUUUGAAAGAGCAGAGCAGAGCAGUGUGUACGAUCAGCCAGCGCCCGAGCGGUGAUUUUCUAAAAUACCCUUACAUUAUGAGUUAUGAGAUAUGUUAUGAUAUGAUAUGCAUCUUUGAGUAGGCUAGGUAUUCUUAUUAGGAAUAGAGUGGCCUGAUUUGUGAUGCCUUAGCCUAGGGAUUUUGUUGCUAGGAGAUGCUUGAGAGUGAAUAGAUAGCAGCGAGGAGCUUAUGAGAGAUCUGCUAGAGAGUAGACUAUGUAUAAAGAGAGUAGGGUACUUGGGACUUGGGAUCCUAGGAGGAGGACUUGGGUGAGUUUUGAUGCGGUGUGGAUGGUAGUAUUGGGCCCGUACUACCGAAGGCACCGGAUCAGUGCGCAACCCAAGUAAGAAACUUUAGGGUACCAGGGAUCAAAUAGGAAUGGGAUAUCGAGUGUGUGUACGCUCGAGCGAGUCUCUGAUAUCUUGUGUUGUAUUUCAGAGAGAUGUCAUGGUUGGGACACGCCACAGGCCAGGAACUAGCGGGGGUGGGGGGUGAGAGCGAUGAGGAGUUCCGCCAGAUGAUUCAUGAUGAGGUGGCUGCUGCCAUCCGUGCUGAGAUUCCAGAAAUGUUCGGGUCUAUCAAGACCACACUGAUUGAGACUUUUGAUGAGCGGUAUGUUGCUCUUACUGAUGAUGCUUUUGCUGCAGCCGCUACNNNNNNNNNNNNNNNNNNNNNNCCGUUGCUGGUGCCAGGCCGCAGGGGGGUGACGCGUUGCUGUACCAGGAGUGCAGCAACAUGAAGCCACCAGAGUUUGAUGGCACUCGGGAUCUGAUUGCCGCGAUGAGAUGGAUGUCUGACAUUGAGGGGUGAUUCUACACAUGUUCAUGUCCGGAGCAUCUGAGAGUUUGGUUCGUGUUGAAGCAGCUUCGCUUGGGGGCGAAGGACUGGUGGAAGUUUGUGACAGUGCACUAUUCUUCUGCAGAGCUUGCUGCGGUGACCUGGGAGAGGUUUACCGCUAUGUUUCUUGAUGAGUACGUUCCCCCGGUGGAAAGGGAGCGUUUGGCCUAGGAUUUCUUGACCCUCAAGCAGGGUAUUGAGUCUGGUACUGUGAUCACCAGGAUGUUCCAUGAGAGGGCGAUGUUCUGCCUUGAGCAUAUGUCUACCGAGUAGGCACGUAUGAGUCGGUAUUUGAGUAUUCUGAUGAGGGAUAUACGAGAAUUCAUGGCGAACUCGACGUACCGGACGUUUGCUGAGCUUCAGGCAAAUUCCCGAAAGAGGGAGAUUGAGCCAGAGACUCGGCCAGGGAGGAGGCAGAGUCUCAAGGGAGGGAUCGAUGACCGGAACAGUCCCAGCCGGCAAGAGGGCCAAGGAGGAGGCAAAGUCUCAAGGGAGAGAUCAAGGAACCAGAAGGGCCGCACUUGUAUCAAGUGCGACAAGAGUCAUGAGGGGGUGUGCAGAGCAGGGUCUUGCUACAAGUGUGGCAAGGAGGGGCACAUGGCCAAGGAUUGCACCGAGGGGUUUGCAGUUUACUUUCACUGCAACCAAACCGGACACAGGAAGGCCGAGUGUCCGCAGUUAUGAGGGUCAGCUUAGGGAGCUUCUUAGGGAUCAGUCGCUGCUGUUGUUUGAGCUACGAAGAGUCGGCCGGUGAAAGCCGAGGCGCCGAAGGCUCGCGGGAGAGCCUUCUAGUUGACAGUGGAGGAGGUCCGCGCAUCACCCGAUGUUGUGGCUGAUAUGUAUUCUUUCAUCUGUUUAUUUUGAGUUUGUGGUGUUUAGCUUAUCUUGUGAUAUGCGUAAGUACAUUUGUUGUGUGUUAUGUACCUGCUUUGGUGUUAUUUGACUCGGGUACGAGUUGGUCUUUUAUGUCGUUAGCCUUUAGUCAGCAUAUCAGUAUUCGUCGAGAGGCAUUGAGUCGACCUUUGCGAGUUUCCAUAGCUGAUGAAAGAGCAGUGUAUGCUACUGAUGUGAUUCAAGGAUGUGUACUCGAGAUCUUCAGCUUUGAGUUUCCGAUUGAUUUGGUCCCGAUUGCUAUGGGAGAUGUCUGUUUCAUUGUAGGCAUGGACUGGUUGAGCAGAUUUGGAGCGCUUAUUGACUGCGAGCGACGGUUGGUGACCAUACGAGACCCUAGUGGGGGAGUUCUUUCGGUUUAUGGCGAGGGUAGCCGUUCUGGGUCAACAUUUUGUUCAGCCGCGAGAGCGAGACAGAGUCUACAGUAGGGCUGUAGUGGGUUUGUGGCUUAUUUGGUGGAUACGAGGGUAGGUACAGAGAGAUCGAGGUCGGUCGAUGAGGUCCCGAUAGUGCGUGAGUUCUCGGAUGUUUUCCCCGAGGAGUUUCCGGGUGUGCCUCUCGAGAGGCAAGUGGAGUUCCGUAUUGAUUUGGUUCCGGGGGCAACGCCUAUCGCCAAGGCGCCCUAUCGCCUUGCACCUCCAGAAAUGCAGGAGUUAUCCUCGUAGCUUCAGGAGCUGUUGGGAAAGGGGUUUAUAUGGCCGAGUAGCUCAUCGUGGGGAUCGCGAAUCCUUUUUUUCAAGAAAAAGGAUGGUUCGCACCGGAUGUGCAUUGAUUACCGGGAUUUGAACAAGCUGAUGGUCAACAACCGUUACCCCUUACCGAGGAUCGCCAAUUUGUUCGAUCAGUUGUAGGGAGCGUCUUGGUUCUCCAAGAUUGAUUUGAGGUCUGGAUAUUAUCAAACGAGGGUGCGUGAUGAGGAUAUCCAGAAGACAGCGUUCAUGACUCGUUACGGGCAUUACGAGUUCGUGGUGAUGCAUUUCGGGCUCACCAAUGCACCGGCGGCGUUCAUGGAUCUCAUGAACAGGGUGUGCAGGCCGAUGUUGGAUCGUUCGGUGAUCUUGUUCAUUGAUGAUAUAUUGUUGUAUUCGAGAUCCAGAGAGUAGCAUGAGGAACAUUUGAGGGAGAUCCUCGGAGUUUUGAGAUCGGAAAGGCUUUACGCCAAAUUCUCCAAGUGCAAUUUCUGGUUACGAGUGGUCCAUUUUCUAGGACACCUCAUCAACUAGAAUGGGAUAUUGGUCGAUCUGGCCAAGAUUGUGGCGGUGAUGAGUUGGGAGGUGCCGAGAUCCCCUUCGGAGAUCAGAAGUUUCAUGGGGUUUGCUGGUUAUUAUCGUAGAUUCAUCCAGGAUUUCUCCAGGAUUGUUGUUCCUUUCACCAGACUGACCCGGAAGGUCAUGACUUUCAAUUGCGGCCCAGAGCAGUAGGCCGCAUUCGAAACACUUCGCCAGAGAUUGUGCGAAGCCGCAGUGUUGGCCCUUCCGGAGGGAAUGUAGGACUUUGUGGUAUAUUGUGACGCGUCGAUAUAGGGAUUGGGUGGGGUGCUGAUGCAGAGAGGGCAUGUGAUAGCAUACGCAUUGUUAGUCCCAAAAAUAACGAUCCAAUUCAGUAAUCAAUGAAGUUAAUUGCAAUUAAGGAGAGAUGUAGAAGAAGAAGAAGUAAAAUCAAGCAUGCACACAUCUAUUAUGAAUAAAUGUCAAGUACAUCUUGAGAAAUUUAUAACUACUGCAGAGUUCUGACUCAAAGUAAAAAGUACAAGCUGACACAACUCAGUUGCUAUAAAUAGUACCCCUCCUACCAGCACAAGAGUGUGCAGCCGUACACACGUGUGCGGCUGCACACACAUGUGUGGCAGCACACAAUACAAGCUCAAAACAAACAUUGCUGCAAUACAUACUCAAACAUCCUGAGUAGAUCUAUACAAAAAUUAUGACUAGCUCAAACCACAAAAUUAUGGAAUUUCGAUCUCCCCCUUGGUUUGAGACUAGCAUAGUCUUGAAAUUCAUUCGUUUGGCUUCUCAACAGGCUUCUCAAACAACCUCAGAUCCGAUCUCCCCAUCGAUCCCAUCCAUAUUCCUCCAUUGAUGAUUGUAGCCACCAUUGUAGUGAAUUCUUUAGCAGCAGCUUCCAUGACAUCUUUUCUGCAAAUGAUUUGAUGACGACCCAGAGUUCGUAUAUCCCCUUCUCUGAAACGAAAAAGAUCUUUAGCAUUAAUCAAUCUCAAAAAAUGUUCUCGAUCCUUGAAUUUGAUAGCUGCAGUUGCAGUUUCGUCAUCAUAGGCCCAAAAUUCCAUAUCAUCCAGAUAUCCCUCAUGAAAAUGUUGAGGAAUAGGAAUUUCCUUUUGUUUCUUAGUUGCUGGCCAGAGUAUGAUCUUCAUGGGUUUGCCUGAUUCUGGAUCAAGAACAUCUUUGUCUUUUCUAUAUAGAGCUUUCGCGGUCUUCAUUGAUGGAAAGUUUUCUCUGACCUGUCUGUCGAGAAAUCUUUUGAAAUUCGAAGCACUGGGAUUUUCGGAGGGAUUAUGGAACGGGGCCCUGGAUAAUUCGGCUAGAUCAGUUUUGGUCUAAGAGUUGAAAUCAUGGGUGCUUUUGUAACAUUCAGAUGCUCCUGAUUAUCGCUUUAAAACACACACAUACGUCACUAUACAACUAACACAUACACACUCUAUUUAUAGGACCACCAGCCGUACACGUGUGUACAGCCGCAUACUUGUGUACAGCCACACACGUGUGUACAACCUCACACGUGUGUUCAGCCGCACACGUGUGUACAGCCGCACACGUGUGUACAGCCGCACACGUGUGUACAGCCGCACACGUGUUUUCAGCCGCACACGUGCAUACAGCUGCACACCAACUACAAACACCAUUACAAAUCCCAAAAACCCACCAAGACCUAUAUAAGAUGGAUGCCUAUCCCAAACCACAUAAUUAUGACCUAACAAUCUCCCCCUUGGUUUGUGACGAGCAUGAACUUAGGUCUUCUUGAUUAGUGAUCACUAUCUUGAAACUUGAUCAUUACAGUGGCUCAAGCCUCUUCGACUAUGGUCUUGAACUUGUCACCAAAUUCUACAAAAAGUUUGUUCUUCAAAUCAGAGUAGCCUGCUGAUAGCGCACCAAGAUUAAGCUGGAGAUCGGAGAUCUGUUUAGACUUCUGAAAGUUUUCUUCUUCAUGCUCGGAAACUCGAAUAUCGAGGUUUCCGAUCAGAACGUCUUUCUCAAUGAUCUUCUAUUUAAGAGUAGUGAUCUCUUCCUUGAGCUUUGAGAUAGAUGGGCCUGCUCCCCCUGAACUUCCUUCACCUAUUGAUAUUCAUUUGCCAUGAGGUAAAGGAUCCGAAUCUUGUUGAGAAAGAAACUUGGCAAGCCUCAAAGAGGCAACAUCAUGCGCAGGUUGUGGAGGAGAAGAACCCCUAGGAGCAGAAGAACUCCCUACUUCAAACAAAGAUCUAACGUUACUUGGUCCUUUUAGGGUCGAUUGAGUUGGUGCAGCAGCUGUGGAGGGUUGUUGGACUGGUGGUUCUUGAUCUUGAAUAAGCACUCCCUACCUCGGAUCGAGUCAACUUCUUGUUACAGAAGGCAGGGAGAUUUGUGUCGGUGUCGGAUCACUUGUGGAUGGCACAGAUGUAGGAAUAGCAGAAUUAAGGGGAGGAAUCCUUGAAGUUGUAUCCAUAUCGGUUGAAAGGUGUCGACCAUCUGAUCAAAAGUUGGAGACGUCACUUUGAUAACACCACUAACUCCUUCUAUCAAUGAUCAAGCAAAAAACAAUCGUAAUAGAAUAAGAAGAUGGAAACAAAUCGAGCUUGCACAUGUUUAUAUCUGAAAAAAGUCAGGUACAACUCGAUGGAACACUUUGUAAGCACUAUUUCAUCGAGGUCUUCCAUGCUUAACCUUAUAUCAUUAUCCGUAGUCUAUAAGCUCAUCUGUUAGACACUGAAUAAUCUACACUUUAACUCAGGAGCGUAGAUGACGUUCUCAAAACUCAGCACUCCAUUUACAACUAUUCCUUUUUGAGUGAUCUUCCCUCCAUCUCCUCCCGUGAAGGAAACACAACCCCCAUUAACAGUCUGAAUGACGUGCAGUUGGGAGACGUCUCCUAUCAAUGUGCCUGGAACAAGCGCUAUCGACGUACCAAGGAAUGAUGACAUUCCUCCGCAGCUGUUCUAGCACAAUGAGCGGGAUUAUUUAGAUUUGGGCACCCAGGUCAUUACAAUCCCGGGUCCCAACAACUAAGAGGGUUUACGGCCGCACAAGGGAUUAUGGCCGUACACUUGAUUACGGUUGUACACGGGUGUAUGGCCGCACACAGGAUCACAAGCAUACACACCAACUGUACACACUUAACCAUACACUCCAACCGCACACUCAACCGUACAUUCCAACCGCACACUCAACUAUACACUCCAUCCGCACACUCAACCGUACACUCCAACUGCACACUCAACCGUACACUCCAACCGCACACUCCAACCGCACACGUUCAAAAUCUCAACCGCACACCUUCAAAGUCUCAACCGUAGACCUUCAAAGUCUCAACCGCACACCUUCAAAGUCUCAACCGCACACCUUCAAAGUUCCAGCCGCACACCCAAAAAUACUCAAAAAAGCCACAACUAUCUUCAACCGCACACUCUUAUGAUUCUUCAAAUUGACACUGAAUUGGCUCUGAUACCAAUUGUUAGUCCCAAAACAAAGGAUCCAGUUCAGUAAUCAAUGAAGUUAAUUUCCAUUAAGGAGAGAUGUAGAAGAAGAAGUAAAAUCCAACAUGCACACAUCUAUUACGAAUAAAUGUCAGGUACACCUUGGGAAAAUACACACAUACGUCACUAUACAACUGACACAGACACACUCUAUUUAUAGGACCACCAGUCGUACACGUGUGUAUAGCCGCACACAUGUGUACAGCCACACACGUGUGUACAACCGCACAGGUGUGUUCAACCGCACACAUGUGUACAUCCGCACACGCGUGUACAGUCGCACACGCGUGUACAGCUGCACACGUGUGUACAGCCACACACCAACUACAAACACCAUUACAAAUCACAAAAACCCACCAAGACCUAUUUAAGAUGGAUGCCUAGCCCAAACAACAUAAUUAUGACCUAACACGCAUCUAGGCAGCUGAAGCCUCAUGAGACGAGGUAUCCUACUCACGAUCUGGAGUAGGGGGUUGUGGUGUUCGCACUCUAGAUCUGGCGUCACUAUUUGUAUGGGGUUCGGUGUACCAUAUACACGGACCACAAGAGCUUGAAGUAUAUGAUGGAUCAGCCCAACCUAAAAAAGUGUCAGAGGAGAUGGUUGGACUGGUAAAGGAUUAUGAGUGUGAGAUCCUAUACCACCCGAGCAAGGCUAACGUGGCAACCGAUGCCUUAAGUCGCAGGGUGGAGAGUGCCCCUUUGCGAGAUGUUUGUCUGAGGUUGACAAUGAUGACUCCGGUGUUGGACACCAUUCGGGAGGCUCAGGUAGAGGCCAUGAGACCGGAGAACCGUAAGCGAGAGCGGGUGAUCAGAUAGAUAUCUGAGUUCAUUGCCGAUAGUCGGGGGCUUAUGACCUUCCAGGGCCGGAUUUGGGUGCCAUUUGAGGGCAGCGCACGUGCCAUUUUGAUGGAGGAGGCGCACAGGUCGAGGUUUUCGACCCAUCCUGGGGCCACUAAAAUGUAUUUGGACCUGAAAAGAGACUAUUGGUGGCCCUGUAUGAAGAGUGAUGUGGCGUGGUUUGUAGAGAGGUGCUUGACCUGUCGCAGGGUUAAGGCGAAGCACUAGUGUCCACAUGGCAUGUUGGAGCCGCUUGAGGUUCCCUAGUGGAAGUGGGAACAAAUUUCCAUGGAUUUUAUCACCAAAUUGUCGAGGACUGCGAGAGGCAUCGAUGUGCGUUUCACUUCCAGGUUCUUGAAGAAGUUCCAUGAGGAGUUGGGUACUAGGUUGCAUUUCAAUACCGCUUACCACCCACAGACGGAUGGACAGAGUGAGAGGACGCUUCAGAUGCUCGAGGACAUGCUUCGGUCAUGUGUGUUGGACUUCGGAGGGAGUUGGGACACGUAUCUGCCUUUGGCUGAGUUUUCCUAUAACAACAUCCACCAUUCCAGCAUUGGUAUACCUCCCUUUGAGUUGUUGUAUGGGAGGAGGUGUCAGAAUCCCAUCCGUUGGGGAGAGGUAGGGCAGCGAGUGAUGGGCAGCACUGAGAUAGUGCUUCAGACGAUAGAGCAGAUACAUCAGGUUAGACAGAGGUUGUUGACGGCCCAGAGUCGCUAGAAGAGUUACGCGGAUAAGCGUCCAUCCGAGCUCGAGUUUCAGGUUGGAGAUUUUGUACUCUUGAAAGUGUCUCCUUAGAAAGGAGUGAUUCAAUUCAGGGAAAGGGGAAAGUUGGGGCCCCGGUACAUUGGCCCGUUUAGGGUGAUCGCGAGGGUGGGCAGGGUAGCAUAUCGAUUGGAGCUACCUGCGGAGUUGAGCCAGAUUCAUGAUACCUUCCACAUGUCUCAGCUGAGGAAGUGUAUAGCCGACGAGUCGGCAGUGGUGCUAUUGGAGGAUAUCCAGGUGAACGCAUGGCUAAAUUAUGUUGAGAGACCGAUCGUGAUCUUGGAUCGGAAGGUUGAAGUUCGGGGGAACAAGGAGGUGCCUCUGGUUCAGGUCCAGUGGCAGCAUCGGAGGGGGUUCGAGCUGACUUGGGAGAUGGAGUCAGAGAUGUGAGAUCAGCAUCCAAAGUUGUUUUCGGCAUGAAACUUCGAGGGCGAUGUCUGGUUCUAGUGGGGGAGAAUUGUAACAUCCCGAAUUUAAUGUAAAGCUAUUUAACCCUUCCAUCUUGUCAAGUUGUCAAGAUUGGUCCCUUCAGAGAGUUCUUGUAGCAGAUGAGUACGUUGGGUGUACUCAUGUGCUUAAUUUGGACACAAACUAGCCUGGGUACGUUGGGCGUACCCAGGGUUAUGCUGGGUGUAACGGGUCCAGAUGCAAACCCUAAAUGUUUGGUUUGUGCACUAUUUAAAGGCAGCUAAGGCUCAUUUCUCAGCCUCCAUAUCAGAGAGUGAAACCCUAAGAGAGAGCCUUCCAUCGUCCUUAGCUUGAGUGUGUGUGUUUUGGAGCUAAAAGUGUCUUGGUGUGUUAGUGAAGAAGAAAGAGAAGAGCUUGUGGAGGCUAGGGCUUGAAGUGCAAGUUUGGAUCUGAGAUCUAUAGAGAAAGGAGCUUCAACCAGAGGUAUAAAGUUCAAAACUUUCCUCUUUAUUUUGUUUGAUGUUGCAUCGACCAUUUCUAGUGGUAAGAUUCCCAAAGGUGGAGACUUUAUGAGUGUAAUGUACUCCAUGGACCUAGAUCUGUCCCAUUUCAGUGAUAUUUGUGUUAUAGAUCCAUAAAGUUUCCAUCUUGGUUGUUGUUAUGAGGUCAUGCUUGAGUUAUGAGCUUUCUAGAGUUGGGAAAUAUAAUGUUAUGGGUGUUAGUGACUUGUCCAGCCAUGCAAAGGCUUAAAGUUACGAACUUUGUGGAUUAAGAGGCUUAGAAAUGGUCAGAUCUAGAAGUUGGACGUGCGUCUUAACUGUUUAAGACUUCAAGAGCUUAGAGUCCGAAACUGGGAGUUACGCGGGGCGUAAUCCUAGUACCCGCGGCGUAAGGGGUCGCGCACCCCGUUUCUGUGAGGACGUCGGGUACGCCUAACGUGUUAGGUUUUGAGCAUUCUAACACUUCCUAAGUGUACAUGAAACCCUAAUAAACCUGGAUCUAUUUUUGUCUAACGUACAUGCAAAAUAUUAUUUUCCAAGGUUUAUAACCUAUCUAGCAUGGCAUGGGGUACUUUUAAACAUAAAAAGACUAGAUGAAUUACAUACCUUUUGUUGAUUGUUGAUUCCUUGGAGUUUGAGAGCCAAGCACCAAUAAUGUGAAUGCCUCAAAUGGAAAUCACAAAUCACCACAAAUUUGGAAAAUGUAUGAGAGAGUAUACUAACACUUAGAAAUCGGCCACCACUGUUACACACACACUAGUGCUUUUUUCAUGCAACAUAAGCUUGUUUAUAUAGUGUGCAUGGUUAGGGUGAAACCCUAAUAACCCAUGUCUUUUCCUUUCCAAGGAUCCAUGGGUUAAAAGCUCCAUGGAUCAUCCAUGGACUUCCAUAUAAGCUUAUCCCAUUAACAAAUGAGUAUUAGCCCACACCAUAUAAAUAUAAUAGCCCAUGAUUUAAUUAGUCUUCCUUUGAAUCACUAAAUUAAUUCUUAAUUAACUCAAGAUUAAAACUAAUUAAAUAACAACACUUUAUAUUAAAAUAUUAUAACUUAUAAUACAUUAAUAAAUCGUAAGUAUACAAUUCUCAUAAAAUUAUCCAUAAAUAAUUUGGGUGAAGUGCAACCCAAAUGGACCAUGUCGUGUCGGGUCAAGUAUAUAUCAAAUAAGUUAUGGACUUAGAGACCUUAUCCAACAGACUCCCAUUUGGAUAAGCCUAAUAACUGUAUUUUCCUAUAUUACUUCAGGAACCAACCAACUAUCGUAGCUCUCGAAAACUCUGUUGAACUAUGAAGCGCCAUUUUAGAUAAGUGAUCAUCUAGUUCUCUAUUCUCAUGGUAUCAGCCAGAAAAAUACAUGGAACAAUGUCUUACAUAUUGUCUGGCAGUUGUUUCUUGAUUUCCGAUUUGUUUGACAAAGAACUUAAUUGAACACAUCAAUUUAGUUCUGACCGGGCCCAUUACAUGGGUCAAUAAAAAAUCAUUGAGGGUCCCAGAUAUCGCUUCUAUUUCUAGAAGGAAUAGAUAAACUUCGACUCAUAUGCUUGUUCUACUACUUGUUGAAUUAUACACAGAGGCAUAUUUUAUAACAUCAAGUUACUGAUGCGUUUAUGUGCAAUCAAUGCACAACCAACUCAUAGGUAACAACUCAUAUCUCUAGGUUUGAAGACUUAUAUGAUAUUAUCGUCUCACGAUCACUCGAGAUAAAUUCCAUGAAGUGAUACAAGUGAGCAUGGGUUUAUUACAAUACUCAUAGCUUAUGAGCACUCAUGAACGUUGUAGCAACCAUUUCUAUGUCUAAACACCUUUAGCCAUCUACAAACCCAAUUCAUGACAAUCAUGAUUCAUACCUACUUCCGAUGUAUGAACGAUUGUGGAGGUUUGAAUAAAUUAAUUAUUCUGGAAGUCAAAACAUGCAAAACUGAAACAAUAGUAAAUAAUUGACAAUGAUAGCAACACUUUACUCAUAAAUAAAUCACAAAUUUUAUUCAUCAUCAAACGUCGAUUACAUUUUACAAGUUUCAGAAAGGCUAUCUAAUCUGUAAAACUAAUAUCGUCCGUCUGCCCGAUGCGCCUCGCAUGUUGUAAAUGCUUAACCCUCAUCAGUCCCUUCGUAAGGGGAUCUGCAAGGUUCUCAUCUGACCAUACCCUCUUUUCCACGAGGAGUCCUUCUUCUAUCUUGUGUCUUAUGAAGUGAUAUUUUCUGUUAAUGUGUCGGGAUCUGCCAUGAUCUCUUGGUUCCUUGGCUAAGGCAACCGCAAUAUUGCUGUCACAGAAAAUCUCCAUAGGCUCCUUAAUAGCUAGUACAACUCUAAGGUCUCCGAUGAAGUUCUUCAACCAUAUCGCCUCCUUCGUUGCUUCAGUCGCUGCUAUAUACUCUGAUUCACAAGUCGAAUCAGCAACUGUCUCCUGCUUGGAACACUUCCAAGAGAUUGCCCCUCCAUUUAGGGUAAAGACCCAGCCUGACUCAGAGCGGAAGUUAUCCCUAUUAGUCUGAAAACUAGCAUCACUAUAACCCAAUACUCUCAAUUCAUCACUCCCACCAAGGGUAAGGAUCCAAUCCUUAGUCCUCCGCAGGUACUUGAGAAUGUUCUUUACCACGGUCCAAUGAGCCUUGCCAGGGUUCCCUUGAUAUCUGCUGACCAUGCUCAAAGCAAAAGCCAUAUCAGGGCGGGUACAAGUCAUAGCAUACAUGAUCGAGCCCACAGCGCAUGCAUACAGUAAUCGACUCAUCUCUGCUAUCUCGGCCUCUGUACUCGGACUCUGAGUCUUACUCAGUAUGGCAUUGCUUUUGAUCAGUAAAUCUCAUUUCUUGGAAUUCUGCAUGUUGAAUCUUUUCAACACCUUAUCCAAGUAGGUACUUUGCCUAAUUCCAAUUAGUCUUUUACUCGUCUCUCUUAAUAUCCUUAUCCCUAGGACAUAGGCUGCUUCCCCUAGGUCCUUCAUAGCAAAGCACUUCCCAAGCCAGGACUUAACUUCCUGUAAGGUUGGGAUGUCAUUUCCAAUAAGUAGUAUGUCAUCUACAUACAAUACUAGGAAGCUAACUAUACUCCCACUAGCUCUUACAUACAUGCAAGACUCAUCUUCACUUCUCAAGAAGCCAAACUCUUUGACGUUUUCAUCGAAACAAACAUUCCAGCUACGAGAUGCUUGUUUUAAUCCAUAAAGGGAUUUCUCAAGCUUGCACACUCUAUUAGGGUAUUCUGCACUGACAAAACCCUUUGGCUGAUUCAUGUACACAUCCUCAGCCAACUUUCCAUUAAGAAAAGCGACUUUGAUAUCCAUUUGCCAUAUUUCAUAAUCAUGAAAUGCAGCAAUGGCUAGCAUAACCCUAAUAGACUUAAUCUUUGCUACCGGUAAGAAUCUUUCAUCAUAAUCAAUAACUUGAGUUUGAGUAAAACCCUUCGCAACCAGUCGAGCCUUAUAAGUGUGCACUUUUCCUUCCAUGUCGGUCUUCUUCUUGAAGAUCCAUUUGCACCCGACUGUUUUACGGCAUGGUACAUUCUCAACCAAGUUCCAAACUUGAUUGUCAAACAUGGACUGUAUCUCGCUGUCGAUAGCCUCCUUCCAUUUUACAGACUCCGAACCUGCCAUGGCUUCCUUAACACUGUUAGGUUCAUCCAAAUUUACUAGUGUACUAUCGCUGAUAAAUGUAUCACCUUCCGUAGUAAUAUGAAAACCAUAAUAAAACUAAGGUGUGUUCCUAACCUAUGUGAAACGCCUCGGAUGUACCGACUCGUCAGCUGGUUCAAUAGGAGUUUCCUCCUCAGGUUCAUUGCUAGUGUCUGAGGUUCCUUCACCAAUUGAUUCUUGAAUUUCCUCAAGGUCAAUUUGCCUCCUACUGUCUCAUUUGCUCAUAAAUUAUGUCUCACGAAAGACCCCUCUUCUUGCUACAAAGACCACAUUCUCACCGGGUCUAUAGAAGAGGUAACCGAAGGAUUUCUGUGGGUAGCCGAUGAAAAUACACCUUUUACUUCGGGGUUCGAGCUUAUCAUGAGUCUCACGUCUCAUGAAAUCAUUGCAACCCCAAAUCUUGAUGCGGUCCAAAUUGGGAACCUUCCCGGUCCACAUCUCAUGAGGUGUUUUGGUAACCUCCUUUGUAGGGACUAGAUGAAGGAUAUGGGUGGCAGUCUCUAAGACAUACACCUAAAAAGAGAUUGGUAGCGAAGCUCGACUCAUCAUAGAGCGAACCAUGUCUAAGAAAGUUCGAUUACGCCUCUCAGCUACACCAUUCAGCUUUGGUGUCUUGGGAGGAUUCAAUUGCGAGACAAUCCUAAACUCCUUAAGAUAGUCAAGGAACUCGUUACUAAGAUACUCACCACCUCGAUCGGAUCGAAGCAUCUUAAUGUUCCUGCCCAAUUGAUUUUCUACUUGCUGCUCUAAUUCCUUAAACCUUUCAAAGGUUUCUGACUUAUGUUUGAUCAAGUAGACAUAACCAUAUCCACUAAAAUCAUCAAUGAAGGUCACCUAAUACCGAUUAGCAUCCUUUGUGGUAGUCUUGAAUGGUCCACACACAUCAGUAUGUAUUAGGUCCAACAAACCCUCACCCCUUUCACAAGUACCAGUGAAGGGUGAUUUUUUCAUCUUUCCAAGUAGACAAGAUUCACAACUAUCAUCCAAUUUAAGGUCGAAUGAUUCCAAGACUCCACUCUUUUGGAGUUGGCCUAUGUGUUUCUUGUUUACAUGUCCAAGACAACAUUGCCAUAAUGAUGCUUUAUCAAGGCUAGUAGAAGAAUCAAUAUACAAUACAUUAUUUCCUAAGUUGUCUACAACCAACACAGUUUCAUACACACCAUCAUAAGGUAAUGCUUUAAAAUAAAACACAUUAUUAAAGAAAGCAUUAAUACCACCACAUUCAUUAUCAAACAAAAAGGUAAAACCUUGUUUGUACAAACCAUUAAAGGAAAUAAUAUUUCUCGCCAUUUCAGAUGAGUACACACAUUUAUUCAAAUCUAAUUUUAACCCAUUAUUCAGCAACAAAGUAUAAACUCCAAUCUUGGAAACAGGUGAAGCCUUCCUAUUCCCCAUGAUCAAGUUUAUCUUUCCAUGCUCCACAUCCUAACUUCUUCUUAGGCCUUGCAAAUUCGAACAUAUGUGAAUACCACAUCCUGUAUCAAACACCCAAGAGCUAGAAUAUGGUGAGUUAUUAGACAAUAUUGUGUAAAUACCUGCAUGGGUGCGUUUCACUUUCCCAUCGUUUAGAUCAUGCAAGUACUUUGGGCAGUUUUGCUUCCAAUGCCCCUUGUCCUGGCAAUAGUAGCAAUCAGCAUCCUUGGGAAUGGCAGAAGGAGUGAAAGAACCAUUCUUGGUCCUUGAUGAGGAGCCUUCAAGAGACUUUCCCUUGGUACCCUUCGAAGGGGACUUCCUCUUUUUCCCUUUGCCUUGCCUGAUAGCCAAAACAGGGGUAGAUGUUGGAGUAGGAGUAGUAGAGAUAACAACCAACUUGCCCUUAAGACCGGUUUCAGCGGUCUUCAAGAGUCCUUGAUGUUUGCUAAGAGUAACUUCCUCCUUGAUCAUAUGAUAUGUCAUACAAAAUUGGUCAUAACAAAAUGGUAAGGAGUGAAAAAUGAUGUUAAUUGCCAACUCCUCAGGGAAGUUCACAUUCAGCUUGAGCAAACGGUCCACAUACCUCUGCAUCUUUUGCAUGUCGCCCGUGAUGGAUUCACCAUCCUUCAUGCGGGUUUUUAUAAUGGGGGAGAUUAUUUCAUACCGCUCCUAACGAGCACUCUGAUAGUACCUUUCCAUCAGAUCUUGGUGCAUCUCAAAAGGGUAGAAGUCCUCAUAGGACUUUUGGAGCUCGGCGGUCAUCGUGUCCAUCAUGAUGCAUGCCACCUUAGUAGAAUCUCUCUCAUGUGUCUUGAAUUCAACGAUCUCCUCAGGAGUAUCAGUGGACUCAUCAAGCUCCUUUAACUCCUUAUCAAGGACAUAUUCCUUGUCCUUAUAACAAGUAACCAUCCUGGCGUUCCUAAUCCAGUCCAUGAAGCUAGAACAAUCAAAGAUGACUCUCCCACAAAGAUUCAUGAGAGAGAAAGAGCCAGUUGGGUUAGAGACCGAAGAAUUAGUGUUGGAAGACAUCUGAAAGAAGAAAUCAAGUUUAGAUUAGAUAUAUAAAGUCCUUAAAAAGACACCCAAAUGUAAUAUUAAGGCUAGGAUCCAAUCACAAUAUAUUAUACUUAGAAGAGGGAUGUCGUAAUCUAAGUAAUAACAUAUUUGAAAGGUAGGUGAAUGACGAUUCACCAAUUUCCACCAUGAAAAACGAAAUGAAUUAUUAGGUUUUAAUUGGAUUUGAAAUUCCUAGAUUCUUUUGAGAUUCAUUGAACUCUUCAAUGGCAUGUUUCAAUCUCGAUUGUGCCCUUCAAGUUUUGUGACUCGGAUGCCGAGGAUCACAAAACAAGGUGUGAAUAACCAUACUAAUUCACUUGGUACCCUUAAUAUUAUCACCUAAUCAAUGUUCCGGUUAACCACACACGCUCCAUUGAUCUAUGACAAACAUUAAGUCACCCUUCGUGAUCCUUACUAGUCCAAGUUAGUGUGCCGGUUAACCACACACGCUCCACCAACGACUUGGUAAGGUACAAAGUGUGAAUUCCAUGGACUAGCACCAUGUUCACAUUUUUCCUAAAGUAACUAAGAUUGGGAAUUAAAAUGUUUAGUUACUUUAUAAUAAUCAUUAUACUUUUAAUGAGGAUUUAAAGUCAUUGUCCUACCCGUUCGGCUAACGACCCUCCACCAGUCAAGCAAGCGGUGGGUGAGAGUGGACACCCAUUAAGUCGCCAUUUUAUAGGCAACAACCUUAUACCCACCUUAUAGACCGGCUUCGUGAAUGAGGCCUACUAACGGUAGAACGACUUAUUCUUAUACAUAUAUAUAAUAAUUAACCAUUAAUGUUAUAAAUAGUAUAAGGGUUGAAUUUUAACUAUUAAAACUCUAAGGGUUGGAAUUAAAGUUUAUUAAAGUGUGUGAAACUUUACAAAUUCCAAAACUUGAGGGCAAGUUUUGUAACUAUCCAAAACUUUUCAUUUCAUAACUUAUGAAUUAAAGGUUCAUAAAAAUGAAGACUCUUCAUUUU
This 22354-nucleotide long non-coding RNA is filed under the name Lactuca sativa (garden lettuce). RNAcentral's name for it is "long non-coding RNA (LSAT_LNC003020)". The record is from RNAcentral. Lineage: Eukaryota; Viridiplantae; Streptophyta; Magnoliopsida; Asterales; Asteraceae.